RNAcentral lists this ribosomal RNA (253 nucleotides) under uncultured bacterium. RNAcentral describes it as "partial 16S ribosomal RNA". It matches the Rfam family "Bacterial small subunit ribosomal RNA", at positions 524 to 776 of the family's 1533-position model. The record is from RNAcentral.
UACGUAGGGUCCGAGCGUUGUCCGGAAUUACUGGGCGUAAAGAGCUCGUAGGUGGUUUGUCGCGUUGUUCGUGAAAACUCACAGCUCAACUGUGGGCGUGCGGGCGAUACGGGCAGACUUGAGUACUGCAGGGGAGACUGGAAUUCCUGGUGUAGCGGUGGAAUGCGCAGAUAUCAGGAGGAACACCGGUGGCGAAGGCGGGGCUCUGGGCAGUAACUGACGCUGAGGAGCGAAAGCGUGGGGAGCGAACAGG